This 7042-nucleotide long non-coding RNA is filed under the name Zea mays. RNAcentral describes it as "long non-coding RNA (ZMAY_LNC004183)". Lineage: Eukaryota; Viridiplantae; Streptophyta; Magnoliopsida; Poales; Poaceae. The record is from RNAcentral.
GAAGGAUGGCUUCUACCUGCAAGAAUAUUUUCAUUGGGAGCAUGGUGGGAUCUUACUGCAAAGUUCCCUAUAAUGUGCUCUUUUCAUCCUAAGGAACACAAACAAUCCUAAGGAUGGAAGUACUUAAAUCGGGACUUGGGCUAUGAACAGGUGAUGUUCUACCCAGGUUAAUUAAGGAUUGGAUACAUAUGUAGGCCUGUAUGAUCAAGGACUAUCUUAACUGGCCACAUGCCCUGGAUAUGGGACAGGGUAAGCUUGAACCCGGCUAUUCCAUACAUGAAAAGACAAUCGCGCACUGGGAGUGGAGAGAUGGCGAGAGUGGCACGUACCCUCCUGGCAAAGGACCGCCUAAAAAGGGUGGUGUGCUCUCGGGUGGCGCGGACCUGUUCAUGCAGUGGAGGAUCCGUGGGAAUGGUUGACAUAUGCAAGGGUUAAGUGCUACAUAUGUCGUGUGGUUAGAGAUCCUCAGCUGAGUAAAUCGAUUCGGAUCGCCGUUAUAUCCCCGGAGAGUGGAGACUUGAUCGCUGCCCUGCAACCUAAGUCAGGAUGUAAACAUUAUGAAUAAAAAUGAUGUUGUAUUGAUGAGAUGGUGAAAUUAGACUAGAUGCUACCAGAGUCUAUUAAUAUUUAAUCUGGCGUUAAAAUAUUGAAAGUAAGGACUCACUUUAGCAGGCUAUUUCUGCAAAAGUAUCUAAGUUGAUUCUUGCUAAAGCCUUUUCCUUGAUUCCUAUUUAACCAGCAUAUCCUUGAGAGUCAUUUUUCCUUAGUCGGGUAAGACUUGCGAAAGUACACUCCGUACUCAGGGUUUUCGAACCCAUGUUGCUGUAGGUGAUGAGGAGUACUCUAUGUGUUCGUGAGGCUGGAGGGCGCUUCCAGUUCUAGAGGAGGAUUAGUUAGGCUUAUGUAUAAGCUUUGGAGGGUUCCUACCUUCCUGCUAUUGUAAUAAGUUAUGCACUUUGAGUAUAUCAGGACUUGUAAUAAAUGUAACUCUUCCUAUGUAAUAACCUUCAGUUUUAGAAAUAAAAAGAAUGUUUUGUGAAGUCUUUCGCUCUUAUCUUCGAAGUGUGUGUAUCAAAUGUGAUUACUGUAAUAUGCAUGUAUGGUGGGAGAUCCUUGGGAUGAUGAGUUCAAGUUGUUGAACUCGUGAUAGCCUUGUUAAGUUACCUGGUACACGUGCAUAGCCAUCUGAGGCCAUCAAGGCAAGGAUUGGUGCACGUGGGCCCGAUAACUUGGGAGGGCUGCCACAGAUUGGUAUCGGAGCGAUCCCCCAUUAUCAUGGAUAUUAAAGUAAUCCUUUGAUAUACUUCAAAAGGAUUUUGAGUUCAAAUUAUUUUGGAAAAACUUAAGAAUAUGAUCAAAUCCUGAUAGUCGAAGUGCAAAUAGUAUAUAGUUAAGAUAAGGACUAUAAGGUGGCUUAGUUUAGGAUGCUAACCACUAACCCACAACUAUAAUGUAAUUUUCUGCAGGUACACUAACUAAACCCUAGGAAAGUGCGACUAGUGUUCAAUAACGGAGUGAGUAGGUAUGCCACCGCCAUAGAACGUGAUAGCCACUAUAUGUUGGCAAGAAUUGUCAGGACGAAUAGGUCGAGCAUGCAUCAUGACAUACAAUUUUAAGUUAAGCCCCCUAUAUAGUAGCUUAGUACAUGUUUCAUUCAUCCUAUUCAUGCUACCUAUCUUUGCUUUUCUAUACUACCUUUUCCUAUUCGUGAAGCCUUGGAACUCAGCUCAUUUGGUGGACCAGUAGUUUAUAAGGUAUAGUUGCAAAAAAAAUUGUCAACAGUGCACAACAUGUUCCACGUGUCCCAGUUAAAGAAAUGUUUUCGAGUCCCCGCGCAUGUUAUUGGGAUUUCAGGUGUCAAUAUUGAACCAGAUUUAACCUACUUGGAAUAUCCCAUAAGGGUGUUGGAUCUAAAGGAUCAGGUCACUCGAAGAAAAGCUAUCAUGUUUUACUAGGUACAGUGGAACCAACACCCGGAAGAUAAACCAUAUAGGAAUCGGAGGAGUAUUUAGAAAAACAUUUUCCUGAGUUCUUAGUUUCAUCUAAGCCGUACGUUUUAUGUAGUUGUUUUUUUUAUGUGAACCAACAAGGAUACACCCCCUGUCUUGUAGGAGUAAUGGGAAAUAAGCCAGUGACACAUUUCCUUUUCCAUUACCUAGCCUAGAGUUUUAAAUCUCGGGACGAGAUUUCUUUUAGGGGGGAAGACUGUAACACCCCUGGUGUUACGUUAACUAAAACUCUGACAUGUCAUCAUAAGCAUUUGCAUUAUCUUGUUUGAUAUACCUAGAAUGCAUUCACUAGGUCAAAAAAUUUUCAUUGAAUGUGGUGUUGUGUAUUAGAGUACAGGGCUCAGAUUAAGAACUUUGCUUAAGACAUGGGAAGAAAAGUCGUCUCUUGAGCAAGUAAUAAGUUGGCUUGGAAUUUAAAGUAUUAAAGGUAAGACUUAGAACCUAGAGCAACUUUGUUUUCAAAGGGAGAUUAAGUGGAAGGAACACUUGAGCUCAAGGAUCAACUUAGAAACCUUAAUGUAAGGGUUGAAAGUUUGUUUGCAAUUAUGUGUAAGCAAACAACUCCUAAACCAAGGAUACCUUGGACCUGAGUUCUAUAAGAUAAAGUUGAAUUUGAGAUUAAGAAGCAACUUUGCUUUAGGAGGAUGGAUAAGUUUGCUUUUGAUAUGUGGAUUAUAAGUGGUGAAGUACUUGGGGUGGUUGAGUAUCUCUAACCCCUAAACUGGAGCCCAAAAGUGGAUUUGGAGAUCUAGCCACAUUUUGCAAGAGGUAAAAAUACCAAGUUGGUAGGAUUUCCAAAGUUGCACAAUUUUGUUAUUUGGAGAUUUCCAUGUUGUGUGGAGAAAUUUGGAGAAAUUCACAAAGGUUCAGUUUUAGAGUUCCUGAAAAUAGCAGCAACUAGGCAAUUUUAGUCCUUUGUAACUUUUGAUCUAGAACCAUUUUGAAGAUGAUCAUUAUAACAAAGUUAUAGAGCUACAUGAGGAGUAUAAGUUUGGUUAAGUCACCUAGCACUAAAACUGUUUGGAACUUAGAGAAAACCUGGUCCAAAGUAAAGCUGUCAGAAAUUGUAGGUUUCAAACUUAGUGAAAUUCAGAUCCUGAAUUUCAGCAAUUGGAGCAAACUUUGGACUAUUGUAGUUUGGAAUCCAAGAGGUUUUGGUUAAUGACCAUUAUAGAAACAUUGUAGAAUAAGUACAGGAGAGAAACUUUUAUUAAGUGUGACAGCCCUGGAACUAUAUACAACUAGGAGAAAAGGUGAUCCAAAGUGAGGUUGUCAGACUUUUUGAGUUUUUAGAUUGGGAACAGUGAACUGAAACUAAGAUUUCAGUAUAUAUAGCUGUUUUUGGAGCUCAAUUGUGUCUAAUCCAUGAGGUUUUGGGCUGUUGAAUAUAUAGAGGAAUUAAAGACCAUAUGAUGGUGAAUAAGUCUCCUUAAGUGACUUUGGUUUGAUCCUACACAAAAGUUGGAAAGAAAGCUUGCUCAAGGUUAGACUGACAGACAGUGCUUUAAUUGCAUUUGGUUCAGUUCUGAAAUCUGAAAUUUGUUGUUUGGUGCCAAGUUUGGAGCCCUUUUGUGGUUGUUAUAUAAGGUUUUGGACUGAGGUUUUUGUAGUGUAAGUGAAGACCACCCAAUGGUGAACAACUGUAUUAAAGGAUGAUGCACAUGAUCCCAAAUAAAAAGUGGUGUAACAGCUGCUCAAAGUUUGACUAUCAGGUGGCUAGCGACAGUCUAUUCAAAGCUGAAAUCUGGAAUUUCAGUGAAGAGUGCCUAGUUUGGAGUGCUUUUGUAAUUAAUCCAUGUGGUUUUGGGCUAAGAACUGUGUGGAGAAGUUGUAGUCCACUGUACCGAGAACAAGUUUUAUCAAGUAAGAUAGCCUUGGUGCUGCACAAAAAGAGGAGUAAAAGUGGCUCCAAGUUGUGCUGUCAGGCUUAGGAGGAGAGAAAUUCAGUUAGCUGUUCCUAAAGAAUUCAGUGUGCUUUUACUCACCUUUGGAGCUCUGUGGUAAUUAAUCCAUGGAGAUUUUUAUUAAGAGCUCUAUGGCAAAGUUAAAGACCAUUUGAAGGAGAACAAGUUUAUGCAAAUAAUUGGUCUUGUUAUUGUGUGUAAUUUGGAGAUAAUAGUGUUACAAAACUUACUCUGUCAGACUGAGUGGUGUGAUGUUUCAGAUUUCUGAAACUGAAAUUUCAGUGACAUUGGCUAUAUUUUAGGGUACCAUAACUUUUGUUUUAUAUGCUUUUAGUUAUGGGUUGCUAUACAAAAGACAUAUAGCUAUGAAUAUAGAAUAACUUUGGUGAAGAGAUAGUGGUCUGUUGCUAUGAAGAAUUGGGAGAUCAGAGGGCCUGAACUGGGAGGAAUGGAAUGAAGCAGCAGGCUGAUACAAUUGAGUUCAAUGUGGCAUUCGAAUUCUGAAGAAGAUCACUUCCUCUCUGUUAGGUUACUCGAGUAUUGGAUGGAGUCAAGGUUGAGAUACAUCACUAUGGGUCUAGGGGCCUUAUUUGCUGCUGGGAAAAUAGCAGAUUUGGACUGUUUUGGUGGGCAGUGAGGCCUUAUCUGUUGGAUCUGUGGUGGAAUUAACUAGACAGCAAAAAUCCAGUGGUUUCAUGCCUUCACCCCAGUAGCAAAUAUCAAGUUUUGGACCAUAGUGCAUACCCAAGUGGGAGACUUAUCUACUCCCUUUCCUAUCUGUUUACCGAACGAAGGGAUGGAUAUUUUGGCUGUGUGAGAUAGACUAAAUGCAGUGUAUUUGAGCUGUGGUUAUGAGCCUAUGUGGUGUGGGUGCAUGGGAGCCACGUACAAUAGGUCAUGCAGUGCUGGCAUUCCCACGGUUCUCCUACAUCAGGUCUGAGUUGAGCUCCAUACCCUGCCUACACAUUCAGUUGUACUUGUCCAUAUCCAGUACCCUUCGCUUGGGUUCAGUAAAGCUUCCCCUUGCCCUCAGGUUUUAGCUUGAGACCACUGCGUAAGUGCUGGAAUUCCUGUGUUCACGCUAGUACUCACCUCUCCCCAGUCACCAAACUUCGCCCCUCAGAAACUUGCACGCCAUCUUCCUGCCAGUGGUGACCAUAGCAGCAGUUUACAUCCUCACCAUGGCCAAGAUUCGUCGGAGGUUGUCUCGGUCGUGUGGUGCCCGUUCCUUGUUCCUCACAGGUCAGUGAAGCUCACACCAUUUACUGCUUGAACUCUACCACUAUUGGUUGCCUGGAACUAGGUGUGAAAUUUGCUCAAACAUAGGCUGUCAGAUUUCUGGAUCCCAGACUUAGUGCAUAAGGCUGAAACUAGGUUUUAGUGUGUUGAGCUCCACUUUGGUGCUUCAUAAAAAUUGUUCUGAAUGUUUUCAACCUAGGGGUGCUAUACCAAAGUAGUAGAGCUAUAUCUAAGGAAUAACUUUGGUAAUGUGAGUUUGGUCUGUUGCUGUGUAAAAAUUGGAGAAAAGGUUGGCUAAAGUUGGUCUAUCAGGAUGGACACACAACUGAAUUUUUAUUCAGUUCUGAGAACUGAAUUGCAGCAGGAUGCCUAGUUUGGAAUUCAUUUGUGACUGAUUCAUGGGGUUUUGGAUUAAGGGUUCCAUAGCAAAGUUGUAGACCAUAGUAAAGUGAACAAGUUUGCUAAAGUGAGAUGGACCUGGUUUCACAUAAAUUUGAGAGUAAAAGUGACCAAAAGUUUGACUGUCAGGUGGUUGGUGACUUAGUCUAUUCAGAACUGAAAGUCUGAAAUCAGUAAUUUUAGUGCAGUUUUGGAGCUGUGUAGUGCCUGUUCUAGGUGGUUUUGAACCAAAGUUUCUACAGCAAGUUUGAAGAACAUGUGUUAGAGAACAACAUCCUUUAGGUGAGUUGGGGUUGAUCCCACACACAAAGUGGUGUAAAGACUGCCCAAAGAUGGACUUUCAGUUGCGGAGACUGAAUUUCAUUCAGCUGCCUGAAAACUGAAUUUGCAAUGUGUAUUUUCAGUCUUGGAGUGUUAUACCAAAGUGGAAGAGAAAUACUUAGGGAAUAGAUUUGGUUAAGUAAGUGGGUCUCUUGUCAUUUGAGUUUAUGAGAUAAAAGGCAUUGAACAGAGGGGAGAGGAAUGGAGCAAUGGAAGAUGAAUUCAGAGAACUGAAAGCAGGUUCAAUGAAUUGUGGCUUAUUCUUGGACACUAUAACUUGUAGUUCAUGUAGGUUGGAUCCUUGCUUAAGGCAUAAAUGAAGUACUUGGUUGGUUAUGGAGGCAAGGUUUCCUAGUUUGGUUGGUGAAUUGAGUUGUGAUAUUAGAGUAUUUAGCUCUCUUAAGGUUUUGUUAGUUUUUGUGUGCACCUUUAGAGAGGUGUAAGUCUUGUGAUGCUUUUUAGUUUUUUCUUUUCAAGUUGCAUCAGCAUAAGCAUUCAUGUUCAUAUCUUUACAUGUAGAAUUCCCAGAAGAAGAUGAAAUUCAAGAAGUAGUUUCUGAAAAGGAGUUUGCUCCAGUGCCUAUUCAGCAAGUGGAUGGAGCUAUCUAAUUGGUUAUUGGGUAGAAAGGUCUUGAGCCUCUUCACUGCAACAAAGGCAAGCCCCGGUGCAUUUACCCCUUCCUUGUAUUUUUAAAAAGACUUUUAUACACUUAAGUCUAGUGAAAUGUGCAUUAAGUUUAUAGGAAUUGCUUGGAAACUAUUUGAUGCAUUGCCUACCUUGAUAUCCAUACCUUUAUAGAUACUUCUGAUGAAGUAUCAAAAUAUGAUUUACAAAAAUGCUUAGCCCUGCUUAGAUCUUGUGGAUAGAGGUUGUCCUUUGCGUUAAUGCCUAGCUCAGGGUUAUCCUGAGGAAGGAUGACUUCUACCUGCAAGAAUAUUUUCAUUGGGAGCAUGGUGGGAUCUUACUGCAAAGUUCCCUAUAAUGUGCUCUUUUCAUCCUAAGGAACACAAACAAUCCUAAGGAUGGAAGUACUUAAAUCGGGACUUGGGCUAUGAACAGGUGAUGUUCUACCCAGGUUAAUUAAGGAUUGGAUGCGUAUGUAGGCCUGUAUGAUCAAGGACUAUCUUAACUAGCCACAUGCCCUGGAUAUGGGACAGGGUAAGCUUGAAC